AAUAGAUACCCUGGUAGUCCUAGCCGUAAACGAUGGGUACUAGGUGUAGGGGGUUUCGAUACCUUCUGUGCCGCAGUUAACGCAUUAAGUACCCCGCCUGGGGAGUACGUGCGCAAGCAUGAAACUCAAAGGAAUUGACGGGGGCCCGCACAAGCGGUGGAGCAUGUGGUUUAAUUCGAAGCAACGCGAAGAACCUUACCAGGUCUUGACAUCCCUUGACAACCUCAGAGAUGAGGCUUCUCUUCGGAGCAAGGAGACAGGUGGUGCAUGGUUGUCGUCAGCUCGUGUCGUGAGAUGUUGGGUCAAGUCCCGCAACGAGCGCAACCCUUGCCUUUAGUUGCCAGCAUUGAGUUGGGCACUCUAGAGGGACUGCCGGUGACAAACCGGAGGAAGGUGGGGAUGACGUCAAAUCAUCAUGCCCCUUAUGAUCUGGGCUACACACGUGCUACAAUGGUCUGUACAGAGGGAUGCGAAGCAGUGAUGUGGAGCGAAUCCCAGAAAAACCNAGAU
RNAcentral lists this ribosomal RNA (510 nucleotides) under uncultured bacterium. Its description in RNAcentral is "bacterial SSU rRNA". It matches the Rfam family "Bacterial small subunit ribosomal RNA", at positions 777 to 1292 of the family's 1533-position model. The record is from RNAcentral.